RNAcentral lists this ribosomal RNA (720 nucleotides) under Bacillus cereus. RNAcentral's name for it is "bacterial SSU rRNA". It matches the Rfam family "Bacterial small subunit ribosomal RNA", at positions 63 to 763 of the family's 1533-position model. Lineage: Bacteria; Bacillati; Bacillota; Bacilli; Caryophanales; Bacillaceae. The record is from RNAcentral.
CGAGCGAAUGGAUUAAGAGCUUGCUCUUAUGAAGUUAGCGGCGGACGGGUGAGUAACACGUGGGUAACCUGCCCAUAAGACUGGGAUAACUCCGGGAAACCGGGGCUAAUACCGGAUAACAUUUUGAACCGCAUGGUUCGAAAUUGAAAGGCGGCUUCGGCUGUCACUUAUGGAUGGACCCGCGUCGCAUUAGCUAGUUGGUGAGGUAACGGCUCACCAAGGCAACGAUGCGUAGCCGACCUGAGAGGGUGAUCGGCCACACUGGGACUGAGACACGGCCCAGACUCCUACGGGAGGCAGCAGUAGGGAAUCUUCCGCAAUGGACGAAAGUCUGACGGAGCAACGCCGCGUGAGUGAUGAAGGCUUUCGGGUCGUAAAACUCUGUUGUUAGGGAAGAACAAGUGCUAGUUGAAUAAGCUGGCACCUUGACGGUACCUAACCAGAAAGCCACGGCUAACUACGUGCCAGCAGCCGCGCUAAUACGUAGGUGGCAAGCGUUAUCCGGAAUUAUUGGGCGUAAAGCGCGCGCAGGUGGUUUCUUAAGUCUGAUGUGAAAGCCCACGGCUCAACCGUGGAGGGUCAUUGGAAACUGGGAGACUUGAGUGCAGAAGAGGAAAGUGGAAUUCCAUGUGUAGCGGUGAAAUGCGUAGAGAUAUGGAGGAACACCAGUGGCGAAGGCGACUUUCUGGUCUGUAACUGACACUGAGGCGCGAAAGCGUG